GCCAGGUGUGGUGGUGCACGCCUGUAGUCCCAACUACUCUGGAGGCUGAGGCAGGAGGAUCCCUUGAGUCUGGGAGUUCCGGGCUAUAGUGUGCUAUGCCAGUCUGGUGUUCACACUAAGUUCAGCAUCAAUAUGGUGACCUCCUGGGAGUGGGGGAACAUCAGGUUGCCUAAAGAGGGGUGAAGCGGCCCAGGUUGGAAAUGGAGCAGGUCAAAAUCUUAAGAAGAACAAGGGAGUAGAUGAUGCUAAAGCCAGGCCUGAGUGAAGACUGUGUUUUCUAUGUCACU
This is an unclassified non-coding RNA of Mesocricetus auratus (golden hamster), 287 nucleotides long. It matches the Rfam family "Metazoan signal recognition particle RNA". Rfam says of the family: The signal recognition particle (SRP) is a universally conserved ribonucleoprotein. It is involved in the co-translational targeting of proteins to membranes. The record is from Ensembl. NCBI's taxonomy places the organism in Eukaryota, Metazoa, Chordata, Mammalia, Rodentia, Cricetidae.